This 489-nucleotide ribosomal RNA is filed under the name uncultured bacterium. RNAcentral's name for it is "partial 16S ribosomal RNA". It matches the Rfam family "Bacterial small subunit ribosomal RNA", at positions 30 to 507 of the family's 1533-position model. The record is from RNAcentral.
UUGAACGCUGGCGGCAGGCCUAACACAUGCAAGUCGAACGGUAACAGGAAGAAGCUUGCUUCUUUGCUGACGCGUGGCGGACGGGUGAGUAAUGUCUGGGAAACUGCCUGAUGGAGGGGGAUAACUACUGGAAACGGUAGCUAAUACCGCAUAAUGUCGCAAGACCAAAGAGGGGGACCUUCGGGCCUCUUGCCAUCGGAUGUGCCCAGAUGGGAUUAGCUAGUAGGUGGGGUAACGGCUCACCUAGGCGACGAUCCCUAGCUGGUCUGAGAGGAUGACCAGCCACACUGGAACUGAGACACGGUCCAGACUCCUACGGGAGGCAGCAGUGGGGAAUAUUGCACAAUGGGCGCAAGCCUGAUGCAGCUAUGCCGCGUGUAUGAAGAAGGCCUUCGGGUUGUAAAGUACUUUCAGCGGGGAGGAAGGGAGUAAAGUUAAUACCUUUGCUCAUUGACGUUACCCGCAGAAGAAGCACCGGCUAACUCCGUG